GUGCCUUGGUGCCAUCUGCGGCGCGGGCGUCGUGAAGGGCUUCGAGGGCUCCACCUACGUGCAGAAGCUCGGUGGUGCAAACUUCGUCGCCUCUGGCUACACCAAGGGCAGCGGUCUCGGUGCUGAGAUUGUCGGUACCUUCGUUCUCGUCUACACCGUCUUCUCCGCCACCGAUGCCAAGAGAAAUGCCAGAGAUUCUCACGUCCCUAUUUUGGCUCCUCUUCCCAUUGGGUUUGCAGUGUUUUUGGUUCAUUUGGCCACCAUUCCCAUUACCGGCACCGGCAUUAAUCCGGCCAGGAGUCUCGGAGCUGCAAUCAUCUACAACAGGCAACACGCUUGGGAUGACCACUGGAUCUUCUGGGUGGGACCUUUCAUUGGAGCUGCUUUGGCUGCUAUUUACCACCAAAUCAUCAUCAGAGCUAUUCCAUUCAAGGCCAGGGCUUGAAGAGAAGAGCUUCAAUUCAUAAAUCAUUAUCACUUCCACCGAGAGAGAGAUUAUGUGUGUGUUCUUCUUUUAGCUUUUUUUGGUUUUUGUAAUCUUCCUUUGCUUAUUUGGUGUACUUGAGAAGCUGAGAUGGAUUUGUGUGUAAAUUAAGUUAUCUAUGUGUUAAUUAUUAAUGAUGUUGUAAUUUUCAAGUUAUGUAAUGGACAAUGAAUUCUUUUGUGC
RNAcentral lists this unclassified non-coding RNA (667 nucleotides) under Hevea brasiliensis (rubber tree). Lineage: Eukaryota; Viridiplantae; Streptophyta; Magnoliopsida; Malpighiales; Euphorbiaceae. The record is from RNAcentral.